Molecule: long non-coding RNA, 1523 nt
Filed under: Macaca fascicularis (crab-eating macaque)
Lineage: Eukaryota; Metazoa; Chordata; Mammalia; Primates; Cercopithecidae
Description: lncRNA (ENSMFAG00000054427.1)
Source: RNAcentral
AAGAAGUAGGGGGUGGUUGGAGUCAGCUCCAUCCUGCCUCAGUUUCUCCAUUUCCCCUCGGGUCAGGUGGGCCUCAUUGGCUUUGGGGUGAAUCCGCAGGCCCCUGGGAGCUGGUUCUGUAAGGUUUUUGGUGCACAGGGCUCCGCACCCCCAUUCCCUCCCAUAACACUUGCACUAGCACCCAGUUGCUUGGGUCAUCUGGACCAGGUCUGUCUGCUGGAAGCUGGUCUCUGUCCACCUUGGUGAGGCCCGUGACCCGGGGCUCUGCCCGCCCAGCAGGGCCAUGGGGCCCAGGCCAGACAUGUCCUCUCCCGCACGGCCUCUGGCAGUGGCCGGCUCAGGUGAUCCGGGCUGGGAUGCAGGUGGCCCAGGUGUCCCUCUUGCUGGAGAGGGUUUUCUUCAAGGGCGCGUGGACACUUUUCUCACCAUCAUCUUUGUCUUUGUGGAGCCGGAUUCAGGCUGUGCACUUGCUCACUCACACCUGCUCUCAAGGACGGCCUCUCGGAAGGACCCACAGGCCAGGCCCUGGAUCAGAGAGAAAAGAUAAGAACCAUGAUGCCUCUGGCAUGACCUCACUCCUGGGUGGGUGGGUCGGCCCCCAGCAGCUCCCUGGGCAGGACUCAGGAAAUGGGGUUCCCUUCCCUGCCCCAGCAGUGGUUUCUCGGGUGCUCUGUGGCUUCCACCAGCGUCCUCCUUGUGCCAAACUGUCCCUGCCCUUUGGAAGCCUCUGUAAGUGUUUCAGUCAUGCCACAGACCAGUGCACAGGACAGGACGCACUGCCCGGAAAUCUGAGCUCCAUUCUCCAGCUGUAAUCCCUUCAUGCCCCGGGGAAGUCUUUUAACCUGGCUGUGCCUCAGUUUCCUCAAUGCUAAUAGCCAACUAACCUUUCCCUGCCUCCUCUCCAAAGCCCCACAAGAUUUGGCAUGAGAACUGAGAGUUCUCUAUAAAUUCAAGCCUUCAUUAUUCCAGAAUGCUCACCUCCACAGCAGGCAACUAGGCCCUCAGGUGUUGAGGGCCCUCCCAGCAGAAGGAAGGGGUCUGUGCCCAAGACACAUCUGGCACCACCUGCGGGUGCAGGUUCCCUCCUACCUGAGCUGGAGUUCUGUCUCAGCCUUGCUGCUGCUUCUCUGGGAACACAGGAAUCUCUUUGCUCAUGGUGCCAGGCUUGGGCACCCCAGGCAGUUUUGCCUGUUGUCUCGUUACCCACCCUGGCUAGGGGAGGAUUCCUUUGAUAACUUUCCACCCCCAAAGAAAAGACGGUCUUGAAAAGGAGACAGAGAGAAUGCCCACCCUCUGUCAGGACAGAGCUUUACUCCAAGCCUCCGUCUUCCCAGUCUCUGGGUAGCUGCCACUGACUUAGGGCCCAGCUGUGGGUACCCCACGUCCUAUGACAGUAUGUGAUAAGUGCUGGUUUCUUUUCACCAAAACAAAAUUACUCAAAAGAAACUGGACCUUCUGGGAACUGCCUGCUCUCAUUUCAAGGUCGAUUUCAAUCUUUGGCUUCAUUAAAAAAAAAAAAAAAA